This 448-nucleotide ribosomal RNA is filed under the name Stygocapitella sp. 431_01. RNAcentral describes it as "partial large subunit ribosomal RNA". It matches the Rfam family "Bacterial large subunit ribosomal RNA", at positions 1812 to 2611 of the family's 2925-position model. The record is from RNAcentral. Lineage: Eukaryota; Metazoa; Annelida; Polychaeta; Parergodrilidae.
AACAUAGCCUUUAACCUCACAAAGGUAUAACCCUGCUCUAUGAUUAAUUUAACAGCCGCGGUAUCCUAACCGUGCUAAGGUAGCAUAAUCAUUUGCCUACUAAUUAUAGGCUAGAAUGAAUGGGACUACUAACUUAACUCUAUUCAUUUAAAAUUAAAACUAAACUAAAAGUUAAAAUGCUUCGUUUCUAAAAAAGACAAAAAGACCCUGGAAACUAUAUUAAUAAUAUUAGUUGGGGCAACUAUAGACCAAUUCAGCGUCUAUUAAUCUAAACUAAAUAAAAAUCAAAAGUUCACAGUUACUCCAGGGAUAACAGACUAAUUUCAACUUAUAGACCUAAUAUAAUUUGAAGAUUGGCACCUCGAUGUUGGCUUAUAACUUUCCAAUUGAAGCACCACUCAAUUUUGGAUAGCUUGUUCAUCUAUUAAAUGUUUACAUGAGCUGAGUU